AUUGAACGCUGGCGGCAGGCCUAACACAUGCAAGUCGAACGAGAGGCGGACGGGUGAGUAAUGUCUGGGAAACUGCCUGAUGGAGGGGGAUAACUACUGGAAACGGUAGCUAAUACCGCAUACCAACGGAUGAGCCCAGAUGGGAUUAGCUAGUAGGUGGGGUAACGGCUUACCUAGGCGACGAGCCCUAGCUGGUCUGAGAGGAUGACCAACCACACUGGAACUGAGAAACGGUCCAGACUCCUACGUGAGGCAGCAGUGGGGAAUGUUGCGCAAUGGGCGCAAGCCUGAUGCAGCCAUGCCGCGUGUAUGAAGAAGGCCUUCGGGUUGUAAAGUACUUUCAGAGGGGAGGCGUUACCCGCAGAGGAAGCACCGGCUAACUCCGUGCCAGCAGCCGCGGUAAUAC
This 406-nucleotide ribosomal RNA is filed under the name uncultured bacterium. RNAcentral's name for it is "partial 16S ribosomal RNA". It matches the Rfam family "Bacterial small subunit ribosomal RNA", at positions 30 to 526 of the family's 1533-position model. The record is from RNAcentral.